GAAACUCAAAGGUGGUCUUGGCAGCUGGGACUCAGACCUCUGAGAAGCGGGUGAUACUCAGCUGGUGCUGGGUGUCUCUGAGGGGCCCCGUGAGGUUGGUUCUACAGGCCUUGAAGAAACUGCGAGCUGUUUUCAGCUGCUGCUGCAGGGCCUGCUGCUUCUGGGACCACGCUUAUAGGAACAGGAGAGAGAGGGAAGCAAACUGGAGGGAGCAAGUCCCUGCCUCCUCCUCCAGCCUCGCACUUGCUCUCUAACGCCCCCUAUUGGCAGGGCCUGGCAGGGAGCCGCUACAAAGCAGGAAUUUGGUUUGCGGAGUCCCAGCCACCAAGUCACAAAGCUGAGCACAGAAGCCCCGCCACCACGCACACACCUUGUAGACUCCUCCUUCAUUGCUGUGUCUGCCCUGUAGAAUACAGCUGUUGGACUUCACCCCCUCUCUCAGUGACAUGCCACGAUGGGGGAAACUGUUGCCUGCUCCUGGGAGCAAGCUGUUCUCUCUGCCAGUUGUCCAAACAAUGGAAAUUUCCAGGAUUCUUUGCUGCAGUUUUUCAAAGUUAAUGGACAUAGCUGACUUUUGAAAAAGCUAGCUGUUACCAGGGGCCAAGAGGAGUAUGAGAGAAAAAUGCUUACCUCCGGACUCUCCAAUGUGGAGGAAAAAUUCUGUCUAAAGAGAUGAGCAACAAUGACAAAAAUGCCCCCCUGCUCUUUAUAAAUCCUCAUUCUGGUUCUCACACCACAGGUUACCAGGACCCAGGUGGGAUGCUAAGACAGGGAGGCUAGACAGAACAAGAUAGGAUCU
This 799-nucleotide long non-coding RNA is filed under the name Equus asinus (donkey). RNAcentral's name for it is "lncRNA (ENSEASG00005034588.1)". Lineage: Eukaryota; Metazoa; Chordata; Mammalia; Perissodactyla; Equidae. The record is from RNAcentral.